CAGUCGCCGCGGUAAUACAGAGGAUGCAAGCGUUAUCCGGAAUGAUUGGGCGUAAAGCGUCUGUAGGUGGCUUUUCAAGUUCGCCGUCAAAUCCCAGGGCUCAACCCUGGACAGGCGGUGGAAACUACCAAGAUGGAGUACGGUAGGGGCAGAGGGAAUUUCCAGUGGAGCGGUGAAAUGCGUUGAGAUCGAAAAGAACACCAACAGCGAAAGCACUCUGCUGGGACGACACUGACACUAAGAGACGAAAGCUAGGGGAGCAAAUGGGAUUAGAUACCCCUGUAGUCCCUGUCUCUUAUAC
This 301-nucleotide ribosomal RNA is filed under the name uncultured bacterium. RNAcentral's name for it is "partial 16S ribosomal RNA". It matches the Rfam family "Bacterial small subunit ribosomal RNA", at positions 509 to 807 of the family's 1533-position model. The record is from RNAcentral.